RNAcentral lists this ribosomal RNA (500 nucleotides) under uncultured Glomeromycotina. Its description in RNAcentral is "partial small subunit ribosomal RNA". It matches the Rfam family "Eukaryotic small subunit ribosomal RNA", at positions 591 to 1092 of the family's 1831-position model. Lineage: Eukaryota; Fungi; Glomeromycota. The record is from RNAcentral.
CCAAUAGCGUAUAUUAAAGUUGUUGCAGUUAAAAAGCUCGUAGUUGAAUUUCGGGAUCAGCGCGUCGGUCGUGCCUCCGGUAUGCACUGGCGCCGCUGGUUUCUCCCUUCUGAGGAACCGUGAUGUCAUUAAUUUGGUGUCGCGGGAAAUCAGGACUGUUACUUUGAAAAAAUUAGAGUGUUUAAAGCGGGCACGCGCUUGAAUACAUUAGCAUGGAAUAACGAAAUAGGACGUUCGAUCUUAUUUUGUUGGUUUCUAGGAUUGACGUAAUGAUUAAUAGGGAUAGUUGGGGGCAUUAGUAUUCAAUUGUCAGAGGUGAAAUUCUUGGAUUUAUUGAAGACUAACUACUGCGAAAGCAUUUGCCAAGGAUGUUUUCACUAAUCAAGAACGAAAGUUAGGGGAUCGAAGACGAUCAGAUACCGUCGUAGUCUUAACCAUAAACUAUGCCGACUAGGGAUCGGAUGAUGUUAAUUUUAUAAUGACUCAUUCGGCGCCUUACG